RNAcentral lists this microRNA precursor (106 nucleotides) under Paramuricea clavata. Lineage: Eukaryota; Metazoa; Cnidaria; Anthozoa; Malacalcyonacea; Plexauridae. The record is from RNAcentral.
AACGAGGGGUAUUCCACAAAAAAUUACCCUGAGGGAUGAAAUAUUCCGAGAGCGAAGCCCGAGGAAUAUUUCAUCCCGCAGGGUAAUUUUUUGUGGAAUACCCCGA